UUUUUUCAACUCCGAGGCUGUGGAUAAAAUCUCAGCUGGACUGAGGCUCUUCAAACUCAAGAUGUCUCCCGAAAGAGUGUACAUGCUGAUAAACAACUGCUGUUUAUGGAAUGAAUUGACGCGCUGCACAGUCCGGAACUGAUCAGUGCAAGGGAGCCGGACACCGGGCAAUCUAGUGGGAGUGUGUCGGGGGGCUGAGACAACUUCUAGGGAUCGAUGUUUUCGCUGCAUGUAGGAGACGCAAGUAAAAUCAGAGGUUUCCCUUUGGAUUACAAGUUAGGAACCUUGUACCCAAUGACAGUUGAAAAAGAAGGAGGAAUAGAGUCCUGUGUGCUCACGUUGGUAAAGUAUGACAUUCUUCAUAAGUCACACUGGGGCAAAACUGCACCUGGGCAGUAACCCAUAACAACCAGAAAGUCAUUACAUGUUUUUAAGCCAGCUGCAGGCUGAACAUAGAAAGAAAACAUUUGAUUGGUUGUCAUGGGUUACUGGCCAGGUGCAAUUUUGCCCAGUGUUUAUAAAUUACCCCCUCUGAGUAGUUAAGAAACUCUAAUGAUAUCUUAUAGGGCAUAGUUGUGCUUCUAACACGCUGGCACCAACGGGCUAUGAGUUUUGAAAUACAAACUACACAUGUCAUAGGCUGCUACUAUCCUAAUGCCAAGGAAUUGAGUGGCAUAUAAUAUUUGCCUCUAAUUAGCCUAAAAGCCUGAGCCUCUGUAUGAAUUUUCUUAUAGUGUCUAUUAAUUAAAUCUUUUUAGUGUGAAUUGAUUACGUGUAACGAAUUGUCCAAUAUUCGUAUCUUGUAAGUCUUUGAUUUAUAUUCAUGAAUUGUUACUUUUGAAUUAAGGUUUUUAAUGUGUGAUUAUAAAUGAAUAUUUGAUGUGCUCUUGCUUGCUUGGGUUUUCCACUGAGAAAUAAAUAACUUUUUGACUAUUUAUACAACUGAAUGUGGAUUAAGAGUCUGAGCUUUCUUUAAAAUUGAAUAAAUGUGAUUAAUUUUUGUGAUUAGUUUAAGUGGCUAAACUGAGCUAAAUAUUAGCAGGAGUGUAUUCAUGUCACAAAUAAUGUAUUAAAUAAUAAUGUAUUAAAUAAUUAUGUAU
Xenopus laevis (African clawed frog) is the source of this 1100-nucleotide long non-coding RNA. RefSeq lists it as uncharacterized. Lineage: Eukaryota; Metazoa; Chordata; Amphibia; Anura; Pipidae. The record is from RefSeq and is a predicted model, not a curated record. The transcript is spliced from 4 exons.